This 200-nucleotide ribosomal RNA is filed under the name uncultured eukaryote. RNAcentral describes it as "partial 18S ribosomal RNA". It matches the Rfam family "Eukaryotic small subunit ribosomal RNA", at positions 588 to 791 of the family's 1831-position model. The record is from RNAcentral.
GCUCCAAUAGCGUAUAUUAAAGUUGUUGCGGUUAAAAAGCUCGUAGUUGGAUUUCUGCUGAGGACGACCGACCGACCAAACGGGUUUGCGUCUGGUUAGACCGAGGCAUCCUCUUGGAAGACGUGUUCCACUUUACUGUGGUCACGGAGUCCAGGACUUUUUACUUUGAGGAAAUUAGAGUGUUUCAAACAGCGUUCGCC